GUCGAAAAUGUUUUUGUUUUAAGAGUUUUUGACAGUCGGUUCCGCAACCUGGUUAUAGUAAUGCGUAGAAAUACAUGAGGUAUGUCUUUCAGUCUUACCACAACUUUUGUCUGUUGAAACACACAAUUCACAUUUUACGAGAUAAAUUGUACAUCCGAAAUAACACAAAACACUAAAAUAAGAAUUUGAAAAAACAAGGGAAAAUCCAGUUAAAUAAUUCCAUUCCUUAUAACCAGAAGUGUG
This 243-nucleotide long non-coding RNA is filed under the name Mytilus galloprovincialis (Mediterranean mussel). Lineage: Eukaryota; Metazoa; Mollusca; Bivalvia; Mytilida; Mytilidae. The record is from RNAcentral.